This 380-nucleotide ribosomal RNA is filed under the name uncultured eukaryote. RNAcentral describes it as "partial 18S ribosomal RNA". It matches the Rfam family "Eukaryotic small subunit ribosomal RNA", at positions 592 to 976 of the family's 1831-position model. The record is from RNAcentral.
CAAUAGCGUAUAUUAAAGUUGUUGCGGUUAAAAAGCUCGUAGUUGGAUUUCUGCUGAGGAUGACCGGUCCGCCCUCCGGGUGAGUAUCUGGCUCAGCCUUGGCAUCUUCCUGAAGAACGUAACUGCACUUGACUGUGUGGUGCGGUAUUUAGGACAUUUACUUUGAGGAAAUUUGAGUGUUUCAAGCAAGCGCACGCCUCGAAUACAUUAGCAUGGAAUAAUAAGAUAGGACCUCGGUUCUAUUUUGUUGGUUUCUAGAGCUGAGGUAAUGAUUGAUAGGGAUAGUUGGGGGCAUUCGUAUUUAACUGUCAGAGGUGAGAUUCUUGGAUUUGUUAAAGACGGACUACUGCGAAAGCAUUUGCCAAGGAUGUUUUCAUUGA